GAAACUUAUCUAUAUUUCAGGUGAUACCUAUAUCCUUGAAGAUGCUACAGUUAAGAGCAAUAUUACGGUUGAGUUGACUCCUUGCAGCCACCGAAGUACUUCCCUAUAUAACCAUCUCAUGUGCAACUUCCGGAAGGAGAGCAACCUUAAAAAAGAGGAAGGCUAGUUUCUUCAGAAAGCUGAAUGAGAUCACAACUUUAUGCGGGGUUAUUGCAUGUGCUGUUAUUUACAAUACUUCUGAUACCAAGGUGGAUGUGUGGCCUUCCCAUAGGAAGCAUUUUAUGUACUCGAAAAAUUCAAGAAUUUACCUGAAGAAAGGCAAGGUAAGUUCAUGGUGGAUCAAGAAUCCUUUCUUAAGAACAAUAUAUCCAAGCUGAACAGACAAUUGGAAAAAGCGAAAUUUAAGAAUCAAGAACUUGAUGAGAAGCUGCUUUUGAUUGAAUACCUGAAACUGGAAGGUAAGAAUUUUCUUGAUCCUGGUCGUCUUGAAAGUUUGAUCGGACUUGAUCAUCAAUUGGAUAAAAGAAUUGAUUUCACUACUAAGCGGAUUGAGUUCUUCGAGGGUGUGGGGCGCAACCAAGUUGAUGCGGGAGUUGAUUCUGAUGAGAUGGUGGCUAUUUUGGUGUCUGGAGGUGUAGUAAUUCAACCAAUUCAAAAUAAACUUUGUGAGCAGAGAGCAUAGUAUUGAUGAUACAGGAUUAUGACUCUUUGAACGGCUUACAAGGGAAAAUCACUCGUAAGAUCACACAGUAUGCCGCUGUUCAUUCCGAAGAUUAAUUGCCUUGUAUGGAAGAACUAACGGCUUCAAAUGAUCGAAGGCUAGUCCUUUCUUGUAGGCAUAUUUUAACAGUAGAAGGUUCACUGAGAAGGUACAGAAUCUUUGAUGUUUGCAUUCUUUACACAUGAGCCAAUUUUUUGGUUCAGUAAAACAAGCAUUCUUUUGGUCAAUGACACAUCUCAACAUCUUUUAUUUGGUUACUAAACGGGAUCGAUCCAAGAAUGAUUCUAAAUGAGAGUAAGCCUUGACGUUACGAACAUGUUGCUCCUCUGUGAAAUAUGCUGAAACAGCCCAUUUGCAAAAGUGAAACAACCUAUUAGCAAAAGUGAAGACAGACUGCCUACAAUAGACGUUACCCAACCCUUGCAAUGCUGAGAGCCUUGUUAGUUUAGGGUGUUGAUUCGUUCACACGCAAUCUGUGUUAGUAUCUUGACUAAAAUGAAGGAUCUGAUACCCUCAUCCAGGCGAAAACGAAAGGAAAAACACAGAAGAUGUAGCCAGCGUUAGUUCAUGUAACUUCACAUAAGAACAAGUGCAGCAUUCUGACUUCAUAUCUAUCAUUAUAACUAUGGAACAAGUAUUGUAUCGAAAGUUACCAAAAAUAUCAACUUUACAAACGCAAAAAAAAGAACAGCAUUAAAACACAUAAUUAUCUGCGACAAGCAAAGAGAUUCUCCGAAUCCAAGUCCUUAUCAACAACAUGAACUGGGGAGGUGCUGGGCAAGAUACACAAGAUGCCAGCUAAGAGCCAUUAGUGACGCGAUGUUGAGGAAUGAAGAAAAUUUAUUUAGCUUCUUCAGCCUCUCACGCAUCUCGUUAAGCCUCUCAAUAUCAGGCUCAACCACCUGUUGCUCCCUCCUCGAGACUUGUGGAGGCGUCGUGAUUGAGUGUUCACCUUCAGUGGUAGUCUGCUGCUGCUGCU
This 1700-nucleotide small RNA is filed under the name Malus domestica (apple). Its description in RNAcentral is "sRNA MD15G0337700". The record is from RNAcentral. Lineage: Eukaryota; Viridiplantae; Streptophyta; Magnoliopsida; Rosales; Rosaceae.